UAGCCAGUACUCCUCCUGCAGCUCCCCGCGCCACGUCUCCAGGGGCUUGCAGCACCUGCACCCGGAUCCUCCCAGCUUCCUACUUUGGCCUCAUUUGGACGGAAAGGCACUGCCUGCCUCACAGCCCUGAAAGGGACAGCAGGAGCGAGGGUUGUCAGGGGAGGCCAGAGCCGAGGGUGCUGAGGAGCGCCUGCGCAGCAGCCCGAGUGUGUGGAUGCCGAGGGGGGCCAGAGGGCAGCCGCCACCCCUGCCCCCAGCUGCCGGGAUGGAGAUGGCGCAGGCUGCCAGGCCGGCCGCAGCAGUGCUGGGAGCUGCUUAUCAGACAGUUACACACACGUACCACCCCAAAGCUUGUGAGGCGCAAGAGAAACAACACUCACUUCCGUGCCCGGCGCUUAGUAGGUGCUGUGACUGCGCCCACCAUCGCCCUCAGUCUCGGUGUUUCCUCUGAGGCACGGCUCCAAUCUCCACAAUUGUUCCUUAUGCAAAUAUUAUGCUAAUGAGCACGUCAGCGCACCACUCUGCCCGGCUCCGGGAAGGUGAAGGGCGGGCUGGUUCCCCUGUUUCUCGACCAAGCCUGUCCCUUUCUUCCCUCAAGAGGAGCAAAUCCUGAUCCUCCUCCAACACCAGUCCUCAGCGCAGAGAGAGACCCGAGGUGUAGAGAGGAACAAUGAAAGGCCCAGCCUUGGUGGGAGAUGGACAGCUUCGUCACUGUCACAGCCAUAAUCAUCACCCUCAAAAAAGCCUUUGCAAACGUCAGAUUCUUCCCCACCCUGCGCGGACUCCUCUGCAAUUACAGAGGCGCUCCCCCCGAAACCCCCCAUUCCCCAGCCCCCACCCCCCACACACACCCCCGCCUUGGGGAGAUGGAGCCAGGCUGGGGCCAGGGGAGGGAGGGGUGAGUAGGGACAGGAGAACUCACAGGCUCCAGAUGCCAAGGAGCUUCUUCUUAGGGUUCUCCUUGAGGGCAGCGGCCCUGCUCACCCCUCCCCCAGCAUCAAAGCUGCGGCGAAUGCUGGCCUCACCGUGGAGUCAGGAAGCUGUGAUCACGGCCAUUCUUGCCCUGUUGUUCUUUUAUUGCCGGCCUUGUUUGCUCAGCUAUAAGAUGGGUACCAUAGUUUCGCCUGUCCAGGUUACUAUAAAAACACAAUCGUGCAGGUUCAAUGAAAGGCGAUUCUAACAGGGGAUCGAACUGGUAGCCAGGGGAAGGAAGGCAAUGCCUCCCCCAGGUCCUAGGCCCACAUCAGCAGGGAGGUGAGGGAAUGCCUGGCCCACCUUGCACCUGAUCAAUUCUGUGGACCAAUGCAAAGAAUAAAAUCAAAGGACGCGUGCAGUCCCAACGAAGUGGGUUUGAGAUGGGGGUCCCCGCUGAGCAUGUCACCUGCCCUCUGGGCUGACAUUGAAGCUCUCCUCUGGAGACUGUAAACACACAUGGGGGCUGGGGGUCACAGACAGCGGCAGGUGCUGUGGGCACGGGCGCAGCAGCAGGCCGGGGAUGUGCUGACGCUGCCUGUCCGGGUCUGGGCUGAAACACGCAGGCCUGUAGACAGCUCCCCUGGAGAACCCUCCUGCCCCUUCUUGUCCCCAAGAGACAGCACUGCACCCACCCCGAGGCAGGCCAGCCCCUGGGGACAUUGUAGGUGCUCAACUACAGGAUGGGCCUGGGGAGGGAACCCAGAGGAUGCUACCAGAUCAACCCAGACUGCAGGGAGCAGGCAGCCAGCAGUCGCCAGACAAGGGGGGCCACUCAGUUAUGGUGGGGGUUGGGGUGGGGAUCAUGAAGAGAGAGAUACUUCUUGCACCCUUUCUUUCCUCCCACUGGCCUUCUCCAGAUCCAGAGGGCUGGGGCGCCUCCUGGUACCUGCCAGGGUCUCUGCAUCCCAUCCCCAAUUAGGGCCUGGCCCCUCCCCUUCUCGCCUCCCUCCUGGAACCCCCACAGCCCUUUAUCUGCACCUCCAUUAUGUCCUGAUGCCUAUCGGCAUGGAGCCCAAAUUAGAGCUCUUUCUGCCCAAGCCUUAUCUCCUCCAUGGGGUUCUCAGCUCCUCAGGGCAGGCUUCUCCUGCCGCUGCUGGAUCCCUGGGGCUGGGGCAGAAGCCCGGGUCCAGUGAGGGAGGCUUAGGACGCACUUAAAAUGGGGGGUAGUAGUGGAGAGGAGGCUGCGAGUGAGAGAGGGGGUGAGAAAAAAAGGAAGGAAAGAAGAGGGAGGCAGCCAGCUCAAAGAAGGGAGAGAGAGGGUGAUCGGGAACGCAGCAUGUCCCAGCCUCAAAGAUGAGGUGGCCACGCCAAAGCCUGGUCCUCCCACCCCAUGUCAGCUCCCCCUACCCUCCUCUCCCCUCCCGGGAGCCAUCCACGGGGUAGGGGCCAGGCAGGAGCCAAGCCAAGCCAGGGAGCACGGCCAGGAAGGAGUCGGCAAAGCAGAUGCCGCCCCUCUCCUGCUGCCUUGAUUAGAGAAAUUGAGAUGUUAAUAAUAUUCUGAGAUGCAAGGUGCUAAUUAAAGUUAAUUACUGUUUCCUUGUGAAGUAACCUCUCCUCGUGUUUACCAGGAACAAGGCUGCCAGCCGCUCCCCUGGCUCGUGCCAAUCACGAUGCCCGCUGCUUGGUGUACCCCACACCCUCACAGGUGCCCUCGGCUGCCCCAGCCGAGCCAAGCCGAGCCCAAGCAGGCACUAGGAUGUGAAGUUCCCAGGCCCUGCCUAUUGGCAGAGAACCAGGCCAUCCCUGCCAAGCAGCACGGGCACACAGGAGCAUGAAUGACCGCGGGGGCCUGGGAACACCCCUGUCCUCAGUCUCCUCCCCUCCUGCAGGCUUGCCCUGUCCUUUCCUGCUCCUUGACCUGGAGCUAGUUACAUGACCUCUUUUUUUUUUUUUUUU
Long non-coding RNA from Oryctolagus cuniculus (rabbit), 2871 nucleotides. RefSeq lists it as uncharacterized. Lineage: Eukaryota; Metazoa; Chordata; Mammalia; Lagomorpha; Leporidae. The record is from RefSeq and is a predicted model, not a curated record.